RNAcentral lists this ribosomal RNA (253 nucleotides) under Segatella copri DSM 18205. RNAcentral describes it as "Prevotella copri DSM 18205 partial 16S ribosomal RNA". It matches the Rfam family "Bacterial small subunit ribosomal RNA", at positions 524 to 776 of the family's 1533-position model. The record is from RNAcentral. Lineage: Bacteria; Pseudomonadati; Bacteroidota; Bacteroidia; Bacteroidales; Prevotellaceae.
UACGGAAGGUCCGGGCGUUAUCCGGAUUUAUUGGGUUUAAAGGGAGCGUAGGCCGGAGAUUAAGCGUGUUGUGAAAUGUAGAUGCUCAACAUCUGCACUGCAGCGCGAACUGGUUUCCUUGAGUACGCACAAAGUGGGCGGAAUUCGUGGUGUAGCGGUGAAAUGCUUAGAUAUCACGAAGAACUCCGAUUGCGAAGGCAGCUCACUGGAGCGCAACUGACGCUGAAGCUCGAAAGUGCGGGGAUCGAACAGG